ACUUAAAUAGCUUAUUUAGAGCAUAAUAUUGAAGAUAUUAAGGUAAUUUUUAUUUUUAGGUA
This 62-nucleotide transfer RNA is filed under the name Eurypogon sp. EUR01. RNAcentral's name for it is "tRNA-Phe". The record is from RNAcentral. Lineage: Eukaryota; Metazoa; Arthropoda; Insecta; Coleoptera; Artematopodidae.